GUGUCAGCCGCCGCGGGUAAUACGUAGGUGGCAAGCGUUGUCCGGAUUUAUUGGGCGUAAAGCGAGCGCAGGCGGUUUCUUAAGUCUGAUGUGAAAGCCCCCGGCUCAACCGGGGAGGGUCAUUGGAAACUGGGAGACUUGAGUGCAGAAGAGGAGAGUGGAAUUCCAUGUGUAGCGGUGAAAUGCGUAGAUAUAUGGAGGAACACCAGUGGCGAAGGCGGCUCUCUGGUCUGUAACUGACGCUGAGGAGCGAAAGCGUGGGGAGCGAACAGGAUUAGAAACCCCCGUAGUCC
RNAcentral lists this ribosomal RNA (293 nucleotides) under uncultured prokaryote. Its description in RNAcentral is "partial 16S ribosomal RNA". It matches the Rfam family "Bacterial small subunit ribosomal RNA", at positions 505 to 796 of the family's 1533-position model. The record is from RNAcentral.